This 694-nucleotide ribosomal RNA is filed under the name uncultured Bacteroides sp. RNAcentral's name for it is "bacterial SSU rRNA". It matches the Rfam family "Bacterial small subunit ribosomal RNA", at positions 32 to 715 of the family's 1533-position model. The record is from RNAcentral. Lineage: Bacteria; Pseudomonadati; Bacteroidota; Bacteroidia; Bacteroidales; Bacteroidaceae.
AACGCUAGCUACAGGCUUAACACAUGCAAGUCGCGGGGCAGCAUGGGAGAUGCUUGCAUUUCCUGAUGGCGACCGGCGCACGGGUGAGUAACGCGUAUCCAACCUUCCGUACACUCAGGGAUAGCCUUUCGAAAGAAAGAUUAAUACCUGAUGGUAUGAUGGGAUUGCAUGAUAGCAUCAUUAAAGAUUUAUCGGUGUACGAUGGGGAUGCGUUCCAUUAGAUAGUAGGCGGGGUAACGGCCCACCUAGUCGACGAUGGAUAGGGGUUCUGAGAGGAAGGUCCCCCACAUUGGAACUGAGACACGGUCCAAACUCCUACGGGAGGCAGCAGUGAGGAAUAUUGGUCAAUGGGCGCGAGCCUGAACCAGCCAAGUAGCGUGAAGGAUGAAGGUCCUACGGAUUGUAAACUUCUUUUAUAAGGGAAUAAAGUCACCUACGUGUAGGUGUUUGUAUGUACCUUAUGAAUAAGCAUCGGCUAACUCCGUGCCAGCAGCCGCGGUAAUACGGAGGAUGCGAGCGUUAUCCGGAUUUAUUGGGUUUAAAGGGAGCGUAGACGGGUCGUUAAGUCAGCUGUGAAAGUUUGGGGCUCAACCUUAAAAUUGCAGUUGAUACUGGCGUCCUUGAGUACGGUUGAGGCAGGCGGAAUUCGUGGUGUAGCGGUGAAAUGCUUAGAUAUCACGAAGAACUCCGAUUG